AUACGGAGGGUGUAAGCGUUACUCGGAAUCACUGGGCGUAAAGCCCGCGCAGGCGGUCUUUUAAGUUGGAUGUGAAAGCCUACGGCUCAACCGUAGAACUGCAUCCAAAACUAUUAGACUAGAGUGUGGGAGAGGAAGUUGGAAUUAGUUGUGUAGGGGUAAAAUCCGUAGAGAUAACUAGGAAUACCAAAAGCGAAGGCAAUCUUCUGGAACACUACUGACGCUGAGGCGCGAAAGCGUGGGGAGCAAACGGGAUUAGAAACCCCAGUAGUCC
This 274-nucleotide ribosomal RNA is filed under the name uncultured bacterium. RNAcentral describes it as "partial 16S ribosomal RNA". It matches the Rfam family "Bacterial small subunit ribosomal RNA", at positions 523 to 796 of the family's 1533-position model. The record is from RNAcentral.